UAAUGUUACAACUUAAUUUUCACCAACUUUGGUUACACCAAGAUUUUCCCUAAAUUAAAAGGGAUAUGAAUAAUACAAUGUGUUGCCCAUCAAAUCAGACAAAGACCAGCAAGAUUAUGAACAUUUAUACUUUACAGCCUGUUCAAAGCACUCCUGAUGAUAGAGACUUAUGUAUGCCUUCAUUUAAAUUUUGCUCGAGGAUCUCGAGGAAAUAAAAUUCUGUUUCAGAAAAGGAAAAACAUGCACCAUUACCACUAAUUACACAAUUAUCAAUAAUUACAAUAUGUAACAAGAGUUGUAUUUCAGUAGCAGAUGCUAUCAACUAAAGUAGCACACAGCAUCAUCUGAAAGCAUCAAUACUAUUUUCGCUUGUCCAAGGUCAAGGACAUCAGUAGAUAACCAAGUUCUUCAGGAUUGGCAUUAUAUGUUGAUAUUCCUAAGAGAGUUCAAAUCCAGCAUUGGAGCUGAUGGCAUAGAGAAGCUUGGCCCUCAAAGUACUUGGACGUUUAUAUGUUGGAAGCUUUAGUGUAGUGUAACAUAA
This is a long non-coding RNA of Telopea speciosissima, 541 nucleotides long. RefSeq lists it as uncharacterized. The record is from RefSeq and is a predicted model, not a curated record. The transcript has 3 exons. NCBI's taxonomy places the organism in Eukaryota, Viridiplantae, Streptophyta, Magnoliopsida, Proteales, Proteaceae.